CAAGAAUUCACAUUUUCAAAAGUUGAUGACGAAAGAAGCACGUCCUUCUGGUACGACGUCUGGGCUAUCGAUACUCCUUUGAGCAAGGUCCUUCCUGAUCUUCAAUGUUUUGCCAUCAACCCUCUGAUGAAUAAUGCUAGGUUCUUUAGCCAGAAUAAUUGACAAUCUAACUUCAAUUCCCCACUGAGCUAUGCAACCAUAGAAGACUACCUAAAACUCAUCAA
Molecule: long non-coding RNA, 224 nt
Filed under: Elaeis guineensis (African oil palm)
Lineage: Eukaryota; Viridiplantae; Streptophyta; Magnoliopsida; Arecales; Arecaceae
Description: long non-coding RNA (EGUI_LNC036508)
Source: RNAcentral